GAUGAACGCUGGCGGCGUGCCUAAUACAUGCAAGUCGAGCGAACAGACGAGGAGCUUGCUCCUCUGACGUUAGCGGCGGACGGGUGAGUAACACGUGGAUAACCUACCUAUAAGACUGGGAUAACUUCGGGAAACCGGAGCUAAUACCGGAUAAUAUAUUGAACCGCAUGGUUCAAUAGUGAAAGACGGUUUUGCUGUCACUUAUAGAUGGAUCCGCGCCGCAUUAGCUAGUUGGUAAGGUAACGGCUUACUAAGGCGACGAUGAGUAGCCGACCUGAGAGGGUGAGCGGCCACACUGGAACUGAGACACGGUCCAGACUCCUACGGGAGGCAGCAGUAGGGAAUGUUCCGCAAGGGGCGAAAGCCUGACGGAGCAACGCCGCGUGAGUGAUGAAGGUCUUCGGAUCGUAAAACUCUGUUAUUAGGGAAGAACAAAUGUGUAAGUAACUGUGCACGUCUUGACGGUACCUAAUCAGAAAGCCACGGCUAACUACGUG
This 497-nucleotide ribosomal RNA is filed under the name uncultured bacterium. RNAcentral describes it as "partial 16S ribosomal RNA". It matches the Rfam family "Bacterial small subunit ribosomal RNA", at positions 28 to 507 of the family's 1533-position model. The record is from RNAcentral.